RNAcentral lists this ribosomal RNA (253 nucleotides) under uncultured bacterium. RNAcentral describes it as "partial 16S ribosomal RNA". It matches the Rfam family "Bacterial small subunit ribosomal RNA", at positions 524 to 776 of the family's 1533-position model. The record is from RNAcentral.
UACGUAGGGCGCGAGCGUUGUCCGGAAUUAUUGGGCGUAAAGCGCGUGUAGGCGGCAUGGCAAGUCGGGUGUGAAAGCCCUCAGCUUAACUGAGGAAGUGCGCCCGAAACUGCCGUGCUUGAGUGCCGGAGAGGGUGGCGGAAUUCCCCAAGUAGAGGUGAAAUUCGUAGAUAUGGGGAGGAACACCGGUGGCGAAGGCGGCCACCUGGACGGUAACUGACGCUGAGACGCGAAAGCGUGGGGAGCAAACAGG